GGCCUCAUAGUUCAAUGGAUAGAAUACGAGUUUCCUAAACUUUAGAUCCAGGUUCGAUUCCUGGUGGGGCUAC
RNAcentral lists this transfer RNA (73 nucleotides) under Chryseobacterium indologenes. Its description in RNAcentral is "tRNA-Arg(cct)". It matches the Rfam family "tRNA". Rfam says of the family: Transfer RNA (tRNA) molecules are approximately 80 nucleotides in length. Their secondary structure includes four short double-helical elements and three loops (D, anti-codon, and T loops). Lineage: Bacteria; Pseudomonadati; Bacteroidota; Flavobacteriia; Flavobacteriales; Weeksellaceae. The record is from RNAcentral.